This 395-nucleotide ribosomal RNA is filed under the name uncultured bacterium. RNAcentral describes it as "partial 16S ribosomal RNA". It matches the Rfam family "Bacterial small subunit ribosomal RNA", at positions 338 to 730 of the family's 1533-position model. The record is from RNAcentral.
CCUACGGGUGGCAGCAGUGAGGAAUAUUGGUCAAUGGACGCAAGUCUGAACCAGCCAUGCCGCGUGCAGGAAGACGGCUCUAUGAGUUGUAAACUUCUUUUGUACGAGGGCAAACGCAGACACGCGUAUCUGUCUGAAAGUACUGUACGAAUAAGGAUCGGCUAACUCCGUGCCAGCAGCCGCGGUAAUACGGAGGAUUCAAGCGUUAUCCGGAUUUAUUGGGUUUAAAGGGUGCGUAGGCGGCCCGUUAAGUUAGGGGUGAAAUCCCGGGGCUCAACUGCGGCAUUGCCUCUGAUACUGUUCGGCUUGAGAGUAGGUGAGGUAGGCGGAAUGUAUGGUGUAGCGGUGAAAUGCUUAGAGAUCAUGCAGAACACCGAGUGCGAAGGCAGCAUACC